This 253-nucleotide ribosomal RNA is filed under the name uncultured bacterium. RNAcentral's name for it is "partial 16S ribosomal RNA". It matches the Rfam family "Bacterial small subunit ribosomal RNA", at positions 524 to 776 of the family's 1533-position model. The record is from RNAcentral.
CACGUAGGGCGCAAGCGUUGUCCGGAAUUAUUGGGCGUAAAGAGCUCGUAGGCGGUCUGUUGCGUCUGCUGUGAAAACUCGGGGCUUAACCCCGAGCCUGCAGUGGAUACUGGCAGACUAGAGGUAGGUAGGGGAGAAUGGAAUUCCCGGUGUAGCGGUGAAAUGCGCAGAUAUCGGGAGGAACACCGGUGGCGAAGGCGGCCUUCUGGACGGAUACUGACGCUGAGACGCGAAAGCGUGGGGAGCAAACAGG